This 470-nucleotide ribosomal RNA is filed under the name uncultured bacterium. RNAcentral describes it as "bacterial SSU rRNA". It matches the Rfam family "Bacterial small subunit ribosomal RNA", at positions 28 to 478 of the family's 1533-position model. The record is from RNAcentral.
GACGAACGCUGGCGGCGUGCCUAACACAUGCAAGUCGAACGGAGUAAGUAGCAAUACUUACUUAGUGGCGAACGGGUGAGUAACGCGUAGACAACCUGCCUCUAAACUGGGGACAACACCGCGAAAGUGGUGCUAAUACCGAAUGUGGUAUCUUCGCUGCAUGGUGAAGAUAAGAAAGAUGGCCUCUAUAUAUAAGCUAUCGUUUAGAGAUGGGUCUGCGUCUGAUUAGCUAGUUGGUGAGGUAACGGCUCACCAAGGCGACGAUCAGUAGCCGGUCUGAGAGGAUGAACGGCCACACUGGGACUGAGACACGGCCCAGACUCCUACGGGAGGCAGCAGUAGGGAAUCUUCGGCAAUGGACGCAAGUCUGACCGAGCAACGCCGCGUGAGUGAGGAAGGGUUUCGGCUCGUAAAACUCUGUUGCCAAGGAAGAAAGACAAGGAGAGUAACUGCUCUUUGUUUGACGGUAC